Molecule: non-coding RNA, 751 nt
Filed under: Aulacophora lewisii
Lineage: Eukaryota; Metazoa; Arthropoda; Insecta; Coleoptera; Chrysomelidae
Source: RNAcentral
UAAAAGUUUAAAUUUGGCUUUUAAUUUAAGUGUUAUUUUAUUUUAUAUGUAAUUUUUAUAUUAAAGAGAUAUUUAGCAGUAAUUAAUAUUAAUUAUUAAAGAAAUUUAGAAUUAGUAAAAUAUAUAAUAUUAACAAAAUUUGUGCCAGCAGUUGCGGUUAUACAAAUAAUAUAAUUUAAUUUUAUUAAUAAUAAUUAAUUUGAUAGGUAAAAAUUUUAAAUUAAAAUUUAUUAAGUGAAAUUUUAAAUUUUAAAUUAAAUUUUAUUAGAAAAAUGAAGUUAAGAAAUUUUUUUUAAAAACUAGGAUUAGAUACCCUAUUAUUAAAAAUAUAAUUUAUAUUUAUAUUAAAUUAUUAUUAGUUAUGUUCUUGAAAAUUAAAAAUUAUGGCGGUAUUUUAAUCUUUUCAGAGGAACCUGUUUUGUAAAUGAUAGUCCACGAUUUAAUUAACUUUUUUUUAUUAACUUAUAUAUCGUCGUAAUUAAAUAUUUUUUUAGAAUUUAAUAUUUAAAAAUUUUUAUUAAAAAAUUAAUCAGAUCAAGGUGUAGUAAAUAGAAAAGUUAAAAUGGGUUACAUUAAAUAAAUUUUUGAAUAUUUAAUUUUAAAUUAAUUUGAAUAUGGAUUUGAAAGUAAUUUUAAUUAAUUAAUUAAUUUGAUUAUAGCUCUAAAAUAUGUACAUAUUGCCCGUCGCUUUCAUUUAAAAUGAAAUAAGUCGUAACAAAGUAGAUUUAUUGGAAAAUGAGUCUAGGAUUCA